GAGUUUGAUCCUGGCUCAGAUUGAACGCUGGCGGCAUGCCUUACACAUGCAAGUCGAACGGUAACAGGUCUUCGGAUGCUGACGAGUGGCGAACGGGUGAGUAAUACAUCGGAACGUGCCCGAUCGUGGGGGAUAACGAAGCGAAAGCUUUGCUAAUACCGCAUACGAUCUACGGAUGAAAGCAGGGGACCGCAAGGCCUUGCGCGAACGGAGCGGCCGAUGGCAGAUUAGGUAGUUGGUGGGAUAAAAGCUUACCAAGCCGACGAUCUGUAGCUGGUCUGAGAGGACGACCAGCCACACUGGGACUGAGACACGGCCCAGACUCCUACGGGAGGCAGCAGUGGGGAAUUUUGGACAAUGGGCGAAAGCCUGAUCCAGCCAUGCCGCGUGCAGGAUGAAGGCCUUCGGGUUGUAAACUGCUUUUGUACGGAACGAAAAGACUCUGGUUAAUACCUGGGGUCCAUGACGGUACCGUAAGAAUAAGCACCGGCUAACUACGUGCCAGCAGCCGCGGUAAUACGUAGGGUGCAAGCGUUAAUCGGAAUUACUGGGCGUAAAGCGUGCGCAGGCGGUUAUAUAAGACAGAUGUGAAAUCCCCGGGCUCAACCUGGGAACUGCAUUUGUGACUGUAUAGCUAGAGUACGGCAGAGGGGGAUGGAAUUCCGCGUGUAGCAGUGAAAUGCGUAGAUAUGCGGAGGAACACCGAUGGCGAAGGCAAUCCCCUGGGCCUGUACUGACGCU
RNAcentral lists this ribosomal RNA (741 nucleotides) under Acidovorax temperans. RNAcentral describes it as "bacterial SSU rRNA". It matches the Rfam family "Bacterial small subunit ribosomal RNA", at positions 9 to 747 of the family's 1533-position model. Lineage: Bacteria; Pseudomonadati; Pseudomonadota; Betaproteobacteria; Burkholderiales; Comamonadaceae. The record is from RNAcentral.